This 580-nucleotide ribosomal RNA is filed under the name uncultured bacterium. RNAcentral describes it as "bacterial SSU rRNA". It matches the Rfam family "Bacterial small subunit ribosomal RNA", at positions 336 to 916 of the family's 1533-position model. The record is from RNAcentral.
CUCCUACGGGAGGCAGCAGUAAGGAAUAUUGGUCAAUGGACGCAAGUCUGAACCAGCCAUGCCGCGUGGAGGAUGAAGGUCCUCUGGAUUGUAAACUUCUUUUAUCUGGGAAGAAACCCAUAGUUUCUACUGUGGUUGACGGUACCAGAUGAAUAAGCACCGGCUAACUCCGUGCCAGCAGCCGCGGUAAUACGGAGGGUGCAAGCGUUAUCCGGAUUCACUGGGUUUAAAGGGUGCGUAGGUGGGCAGGUAAGUCAGUGGUGAAAUCUCCGGGCUUAACCCGGAAACUGCCGUUGAUACUAUCGGUCUUGAAUAUCGUGGAGAUGAGCGGAAUAUGUCAUGUAGCGGUGAAAUGCUUAGAUAUGACAUAGAACACCGAUUGCGAAGGCAGCUCGUUACACGGUUAUUGACACUGAGGCACGAAAGCGUGGGGAUCAAACAGGAUUAGAUACCCUGGUAGUCCACGCCCUAAACGAUGAUUACUCGACAUCAGCGAUACACUGUUGGUGUCUGAGCGAAAGCAUUAAGUAAUCCACCUGGGAAGUACGACCGCAAGGUUGAAACUCAAAGGAAUUGACGG